CCUACGGGGGGCUGCAGUGAGGAAUAUUGGUCAAUGGACGAGAGUCUGAACCAGCCAAGUAGCGUGAAGGAUGACUGCCCUAUGGGUUGUAAACUUCUUUUAUAAAGGAAUAAAACGAGGCACGUGUGCCUUGUUGCAUGUACUUUAUGAAUAAGGAUCGGCUAACUCCGUGCCAGCAGCCGCGGUAAUACGGAGGAUCCGAGCGUUAUCCGGAUUUAUUGGGUUUAAAGGGAGCGUAGAUGGGUUGUUAAGUCAGUUGUGAAAGUUUGCGGCUCAACCGUAAAAUUGCAAUUGAUACUGGCAGUCUUGAGUACAGUUGAGGUAGGCGGAAUUCGUGGUGUAGCGGUGAAAUGCUUAGAUAUCACGAAGAACCCCGAUUGCGAAGGCAGCUUACUAAACUGUGACUGACAUUGAGGCUCGAAAGUGUGGGUAUCAAACAGGAUUAGAUACCCUAGUAGUC
RNAcentral lists this ribosomal RNA (460 nucleotides) under uncultured bacterium. RNAcentral's name for it is "partial 16S ribosomal RNA". It matches the Rfam family "Bacterial small subunit ribosomal RNA", at positions 338 to 795 of the family's 1533-position model. The record is from RNAcentral.